UGGAGAUAAUAAAUCAGGGACGGCAAUGAAUACGACAUUCACAUUCAAAUUUUCCUUUAGUCGCUUCAAUGCACCUACUAAUAGCCCCCCUCUUAUGACUUUUGUCACAGUGGACUUUGCAGGCGUUGGCUUCACAUUUUCCACCUUUUAGUGGAUAAUAUGCAUAACAUGGCCCAUUAGGUCCUAUAUCUGUUCUGUUAUUAUUAAUCCAAUGUUGUCCUGUUACUAUGAUAAUUAAAACAUAACUUUAGUUUUUAUAUUUAAAAUAGAAAACAAUUUUUUUAAUAAAAUAUAGAUUUAGGGAGUUUCUGCAUAUUUAUAGAAAAAAAGAACUAAACGUCUAAACAUAUUUUUCUACAUCAUUGAUUAUUCUUGAAAAAUCAUUAAACUCAAUAUUGUAUUAUUAGACAUUCAACUUAUAUAUGUAUAUAAAUUAAUACCGCAUCAAAUAAGUUUUAUUAUAGAAUGAUUAGAUAAUAUAUUAAUAAAGUUGUAAAUGUAAAUACAAACCGUGCAGAAGAAUUGUGAGCAUAACGAAUCCAAUAAACCAAAGUUUGAAAGCAAC
Molecule: long non-coding RNA, 565 nt
Filed under: Brassica napus (rape)
Lineage: Eukaryota; Viridiplantae; Streptophyta; Magnoliopsida; Brassicales; Brassicaceae
Description: long non-coding RNA (BNAP_LNC011432)
Source: RNAcentral